RNAcentral lists this ribosomal RNA (253 nucleotides) under uncultured bacterium. RNAcentral's name for it is "partial 16S ribosomal RNA". It matches the Rfam family "Bacterial small subunit ribosomal RNA", at positions 524 to 776 of the family's 1533-position model. The record is from RNAcentral.
UACGUAGGGGGCAAGCGUUGUCCGGAAUCAUUGGGCGUAAAGAGCGCGUAGGCGGCCCUGUAAGUCCGCUGUGAAAGUCAAGGGCUCAACCCUUGAAUGCCGGUGGAUACUGCAGGGCUAGAGUCCGGAAGAGGCGAGUGGAAUUCCUGGUGUAGCGGUGAAAUGCGCAGAUAUCAGGAGGAACACCCGUGGCGAAGGCGGCUCUCUGGGACGGUACUGACGCUGAGACGCGAAAGCGUGGGGAGCGAACAGG